This 1380-nucleotide long non-coding RNA is filed under the name Vombatus ursinus (common wombat). RNAcentral describes it as "lncRNA (ENSVURG00010002453.1)". The record is from RNAcentral. Lineage: Eukaryota; Metazoa; Chordata; Mammalia; Diprotodontia; Vombatidae.
CCUCAGAAGUGUCUGUUGAAAUUAACGCAUCCUGAAAUCCCAAAAAGGUUCCUUCUGCAUAGAAUAGAGUCAAGCUGGAAGAAUACUAUAUUUUACCAGAAAAGAGAUCAGGUUGCUAAAAGUGUUUUUUCUCUUGCGGUCCAAGUCAUCCAAUGGAUGGGCAUCUUCCCUCCUCCCAAAUUCCUAAGUAAUUCCCAGUGAUCACCUCUCUCCAGAAACCCACCAGUUCUGAGAGCUUUCGCUUUCUUGUCCUGUGGGGUACGUAUUAUCAGGGAGAAAGAGCAGUAUGGGGGGGGGGGGGAAACUAACCGAGAACUGAAAUCGCUGCCCUUUUCGCUCUGUCUUCUCAGGCGCCGCUCCAAGUUGGGUGCAGUGGGCGAGAGGGAAACCUGUUGCCUAGAAAGUGCUCCUCCGGCUGCGCUCUUGGGACCUUGGCACUUCUGGGCUCGUCAGGCCCCCUGCCGGACCAGUGACUGGCUCCACGCGAGGUGCCACAGCUUCCCGCGCUACACUGUCCUGAGGGUCACUGGAGAGGACUAGGUGGAGCGCGCUUGCUAGAAUGGGAAGGAAGGUGGCGUCUCUACAGCCCCACUAAUGACAAGAAGCCGAUCCCGGGCUAGUUUCUCCUCCACUUCCUUCCUAUCUUUUUUCUUUCUUUCUUUUUUUUGGCGGGGGGCUUCCCACUCACCCCCCAGAUCAGCAACUUAGCCUCCAGUUGAAGAGGAGGAAAAGAGAAGGACCCCACAAUGAUCCUAUUCCCACUGAGUCCUCUGCAAAUAGGUGAGAGGAGAGAGGAUGGCAGACUAGACGGUCGGGAGGAGGACCGAGUGUGACGAGGGCGGUGGAGGAGGCGUGUUUCUGUGGGUAUCUGAGCGAUGGUUUCCUUUCAGCACGCCCCGGCUCCUCUAGGGGUUGGUGGAGGCACGGUGGACUUUCCCAGGCCUCGUGGAAUCUCCGCGGCGCGGAGUGAGUGUUGGGCGUCCAGCUCAUUUCCCAGCAGCCAAAAAACCCACAGAGGUGCGAGUAGCCGCCGAGUGGAUGGUGACAGCAAAGAGCCAGCCCCUAGCAGGGACCUGCAGAGGGCACGGUUAGAGGCUGGUUUGGUCUGGUUGACAUUACCCAUAGAGUGAGAUUUGGCACUGCAAGGACCCCUCUUAACUUCAAAGAUCUCCCACUCUGACCUGUUGUACAGCCAUCCUCCCUUCCUACCUGGCCUGAAACUCAGACGAUGAAUCAUUCUUUUGCUAAGGAAUCGUCUCAAGAAAGCCCCUGUCCAAAUGCUUUAUACUAUCUGGAAGGUAAGAGACGUUGGAGGUUUUCCCCUAGCCCUCUUCCAUACGUACAUUAAUACUGUUGUUGAAACCAAGUACAGGACUUCAC